This 1236-nucleotide long non-coding RNA is filed under the name Ananas comosus (pineapple). Its description in RNAcentral is "long non-coding RNA (ACOM_LNC042695)". The record is from RNAcentral. Lineage: Eukaryota; Viridiplantae; Streptophyta; Magnoliopsida; Poales; Bromeliaceae.
AGCAGAGCUCGAGCGAGCUUACCUUAGCUUAAGCUUGGCUUGAAAUUAAUUUCGAGCCUAAAUUUAGGCUCAAGCUUGGCUUGAAAUUAAUUCGAGCCGACCUCGAGUGAGCCUAACUUCGAGUCGAGCGAGCUCGAGCCCUAAAUGAGCUGCUUGAAAUUCUUAACAUCGUGCAAUCUAUAGUUUAAUUUUUAUAAAACAUUAUCAAAAAUUUGAUAUAAAAAAUAUCUAGUUUAACAUACAAAAUGAAUGCAUAAAAUACGAUAUUAUAAUAUAAAAAAAAUUAGGAAAAGUGACUCUGCGAGUAAGUGAAAAAGAAAAAAAGAGAGCAAUUAGAGUAGGAUUUUACUGGUUUGGUUUUAUGGGCCCAAUAAUCUAAAUUCUAUAUACAUAUAAUUAAAAUACAUAAUAUAUAUUAUUUUAUAUAAUUAAAAUAUAUAUUAUAUAUAAUUAUAUAAAGAGAGAGAGAGAGAGAGAGUUCAGCUACUAUAUAUACUUUUAUGAGUAUAAAUUCCUUUAUACUUUUAUGAGCAUAAAGUUUUCGACCGUUAGAUUUAUAUUCUUUUGACCAUUUAAUCCGCUAAAUCAUACUAUUCAAUGAACCACCCACUCAAUCUUAGGGAUCACUAUCAUUCUAAUCGCACAUCCAACGGCUGAAAAUUUAUAAAUAUAAAGAAGUCUAUAUUUGUAAGAGUAUAGUAGUUAUACUAUUAUAGUAUAAACCGCAUGCUAUUAGGUUUUCAGCCUUUGGAUCAAGGGAUGUGCGGUAAGGAUGAUAGUAGCCACCUAAGGUUGAGUGGGUGGCUAGUUGAAUAGUAUGAUCUAACGGAUGAAAAUGGCCAAAGUGAUAGAUCUAAUAGCAGAAAACUCGAUAGCAUCAAAUGCCUGGUACUAUCGAUAGUAUAAUAGCCGGACUCUAUAUAUAUGUAGGCAGAUCUAACGACAGAAAACUCAAUAGUACAAAUCGCUUAGUAUUAUCAAUAGUAUAGAUAGCAUAGUAGCCGGACUAUAUAUAUAUAGAGAGAGAGAGAUAGAGUUUGUCUACUAUAUUAUCAAUAGUAUCAAAUGCUUGGUGCUAUCGAAUUGUGUGCCGUUAGAUCUACCUUUUUGACCAUUUUCAUCUGUUAGAUCAUAUUAUUCAACUAACCACCCAUUCAACCCUAGGGGAUCACUAUCAUUCUAACCGCACAUCCCUUCAUCCAAAGACCAAAAAUGCAAGUGGUUGGUACUAUUAAU